CAAUAGCGUAUAUUAAAGUUGUUGCAGUUAAAAAGCUCGUAGUUGGAUUUCUGGUGGGAGCGAUCGGUCUGGCGCUUAGCGCGAGUACUUGCAUCGUCUCCGGCCAUCCUUGGGGAGAGUCUGUCUGGCAUUAGGUUGUCGGGCAGAGGAUCCUCAUCGUUUACUGUGAAAAAAUUAGAGUGUUCAAAGCAGGCUUAUGCCGUUGAAUAUAUUAGCAUGGAAUAAUAAGAUAGGACUUUGGUACUAUUUUGUUGGUUUGCGCACCAAAGUAAUGAUUAAUAGGGACAGUUGGGGGUAUUCGUAUUCCGUUGUCAGAGGUGAAGUUCUUGGAUUUACGGAAGACGAACUACUGCGAAAGCAUUUACCAAGGAUGUUUUCAUUA
This 382-nucleotide ribosomal RNA is filed under the name uncultured eukaryote. RNAcentral's name for it is "partial 18S ribosomal RNA". It matches the Rfam family "Eukaryotic small subunit ribosomal RNA", at positions 592 to 975 of the family's 1831-position model. The record is from RNAcentral.